RNAcentral lists this transfer RNA (67 nucleotides) under Pista cristata. RNAcentral describes it as "tRNA-Pro". The record is from RNAcentral. Lineage: Eukaryota; Metazoa; Annelida; Polychaeta; Terebellida; Terebellidae.
CAGGUUGUAGUUUAACAUAAAACAUAGAUUUUGGGUAUCUAAAAUUAAGAAAUAUUUUAUUACCUGA